GACGAACGCUGGCGGCGUGCCUAACACAUGCAAGUCGAACGGAAAGGCCCUGCUUUUGUGGGGUGCUCGAGUGGCGAACGGGUGAGUAACACGUGAGUAACCUGCCCUUGACUUUGGGAUAACUUCAGGAAACUGGGGCUAAUAUCGGAUAGGAGCUCCUGCUGCAUGGUGGGGGUUGGAAAGUUUCGGCGGUUGGGGAUGGACUCGCGGCUUAUCAGCUUGUUGGUGGGGUAGUGGCUUACCAAGGCUUUGACGGGUAGCCGGCCUGAGAGGGUGACCGGCCACAUUGGGACUGAGAUACGGCCCAGAGUCCUACAGGAGGCAGCGGUGGGGAAUAUUGCACAAUGGUCGGAAGCCUGAUGCAGCAGCUCCGCGUGAGGGAUGACGGCCUUCGGGUUGUAAACCGCUUUCGCCUGUGACGAAGCGUGAGUGACGGUAAUGGGUAAAGAAGCACCGGCUAACUACGUG
Molecule: ribosomal RNA, 468 nt
Filed under: uncultured bacterium
Lineage: Bacteria
Description: partial 16S ribosomal RNA
Rfam family: Bacterial small subunit ribosomal RNA
Source: RNAcentral